GAUGAACGCUGGCGGCGUGCCUAACACAUGCAAGUCGAACGGAAAGACGCGGAGUUUGUCUGUUUGUCGUUAGAGGAGCGCGGGAGUGAAACAUGUGUAUACUCUCCUUAUAUGUCUGGGAACACCUCGGGAAACCGGAGCUUACACCAGCUGAUCUUCUGAAGCGCAUGGUUCAAUAGUGAGUGUCGGCGUUGCUGCCUCUUAUCGCUGGUUAUAAGCUGGAUUAGCUAGUUGGUAAGGUCACGGCUUAUCAAGGCGACGAUGCGUAGGCGAACUGAGAGGAUGAUCGGCCACACUGGAACUGAGACACGGUCCAGACUCCUACGGGAGGCAGCAGUAGGGAAUCUUCGGCAAUGGGCGAAAGCCUGACACAGCAACGCCGCGUGUGUGAUGAAGGUCUUCGGGUCGUAAAGCUCUGUUAUUGGGUAAGAACAGAUUUGUAAUUAGACGUGCAGAGCUUGACGGUACCGGAUCAAGAAGCAACGGCUAACUACGUG
RNAcentral lists this ribosomal RNA (497 nucleotides) under uncultured bacterium. RNAcentral describes it as "partial 16S ribosomal RNA". It matches the Rfam family "Bacterial small subunit ribosomal RNA", at positions 28 to 507 of the family's 1533-position model. The record is from RNAcentral.